Long non-coding RNA from Populus euphratica (Euphrates poplar), 841 nucleotides. RefSeq lists it as uncharacterized. NCBI's taxonomy places the organism in Eukaryota, Viridiplantae, Streptophyta, Magnoliopsida, Malpighiales, Salicaceae. The record is from RefSeq and is a predicted model, not a curated record. The transcript is spliced from 2 exons.
UUAAUUUUGUUUUGCUCGAUGCUCUAAAUAUGUGGCUCAAUAGAUGGUUAUUCAAACAGCCAAUUUGGAAAAAAUUACCAAAAAGUUCUAUUAGGUUAAAUUGAAUCGUUGGUCUUCUUUAGCCCUAUCCAAAUUUGGGAAUCACUGCAUGUGUAUUUCUGCCUUUAUUAUAUAUCGAAAUGCAUUUGUUAGCAUCUAGCUUCUAAUGAGAUUUUGUUUUUCCGAAGUAAUUUCUAUCCUUGGUAAAUCAUGUGCAUGUAAAACAUUGAAUAUGAGAUCUGAAUCUAGCGUUAGAUUAGUUAUCUUGUUCAACUAGUCACCUCCAGUUCAUCAUAUGUGGACAGUUCAGGUUUAAUGCAUGAUCUAAUUGCUGCUAUUAUUAAUCCUUGCAUACUCGUUGGAUCUCUCACUUGUUGCAGAUAUUCGAAGACAUGAAUCCUUAUCUGUUUUCUGUGUUGUGAGGAGUCCACGGAGCAAAAUGUGUUAAUAUGUCCAUUCAUCAAUUUAUACAGAAAGCCCUUGUUCAACUACCUUCGUGGACUAUUUUUUGUCCCGUCUUGCAGCUGCUUCAAUGACUUGCUGCUGUGCUUCACUACUAAUCUCUCCAUUCCCAGGAGCAAGGCCAGAUGGAUUACUGUAAGAUGAUUCCAGGAUUGGGGGAGGAGAGUGCUGAUAUAUAAAACAUCUUUUGCAAGCAUUUACUGUGAUAAUAAGAAUUCAGCCAUGGCGUUUUUCAGUUUUGAGAUACUGAACUCAUUUUAUCGUGAUUCAUGAAACUCUACCUGUAUCAUUAAAGCUAGUUAGGCUUUCGAAUCAGUGAAUCUAAUGAUUUUAGAUUGGA